RNAcentral lists this ribosomal RNA (253 nucleotides) under uncultured bacterium. Its description in RNAcentral is "partial 16S ribosomal RNA". It matches the Rfam family "Bacterial small subunit ribosomal RNA", at positions 524 to 776 of the family's 1533-position model. The record is from RNAcentral.
UACGAAGGAGGCUAGCGUUGUUCGGAAUCACUGGGCGUAAAGCGCACGUAGGCCGACGGCUAAGUCGGGGGUGAAAUCGCAGGGCUCAACCCUGGAACUGCCUCCGAUACUGUUCGUCUCGAGUCCGGGAGAGGUGAGCGGAAUUCCGAGUGUAGAGGUGAAAUUCGUAGAUAUUCGGAAGAACACCAGUGGCGAAGGAGGCCCAGCGGACCGGUACUGACGCUGAGGUGCGAAAGCGUGGGGAGCAAACAGG